RNAcentral lists this ribosomal RNA (522 nucleotides) under uncultured Blastococcus sp. Its description in RNAcentral is "bacterial SSU rRNA". It matches the Rfam family "Bacterial small subunit ribosomal RNA", at positions 1 to 507 of the family's 1533-position model. Lineage: Bacteria; Bacillati; Actinomycetota; Actinomycetes; Geodermatophilales; Geodermatophilaceae. The record is from RNAcentral.
UUCCGUCGUGUCCGUUCGGUCGUACGUCGUCAGAGUAGUUGUACGUCCUCGGCUCAGGACGAACGCUGGCGGCGUGCUUAACACAUGCAAGUCGAACGGUGAACCGCUUCGGUGGGGGAGUCAGUGGCGAACGGGUGAGUAACACGUGGGCGAACCUGCCCUCAGCUCUGGGAUAACUCCAAGAAAUUGGGGCUAAUACUGGAUAUGACCGCUGACCGCAUGGUCUGGUGGUGGAAAGAUUUAUCGGCUGGGGAUGGGCCCGCGGCCUAUCAGCUUGUUGUGGGGUAGUGGCCUACCAAGGCGACGACGGGUAGCCGGCCUGAGAGGGUGACCGGCCACACUGGGACUGAGACACGGCCCAGACUCCUACGGGAGGCAGCAGUGGGGAAUAUUGCGCAAUGGGCGAAAGCCUGACGCAGCGACGCCGCGUGGGGGAUGACGGCCUUCGGGUUGUAAACCUCUUUCAGCAGGGACGAAGCGAAAGUGACGGUACCUGCAGAAGAAGCACCGGCCAACUACGUG